Molecule: ribosomal RNA, 433 nt
Filed under: uncultured bacterium
Lineage: Bacteria
Description: partial 16S ribosomal RNA
Rfam family: Bacterial small subunit ribosomal RNA
Source: RNAcentral
AACGAACGCUGGCGGCAUGCCUAACACAUGCAAGUCGAACGAGACCUUCGGGUCUAGUGGCGCACGGGUGCGUAACGCGUGGGAACCUGCCCUUAGGUUCGGAAUAACUCCCCGAAAGGGGUGCUAAUACCGGAUAAUGUCUUCGGACCAAAGAUUUAUCGCCUUUGGAUGGGCCCGCGUUGGAUUAGCCAGUUGGUAGGGUAAAAGCCUACCAAGGCGACGAUCCAUAGCUGGUCUGAGAGGAUGAUCAGCCACACUGGGACUGAGACACGGCCCAGACUCCUACGGGAGGCAGCAGUGGGGAAUAUUGGACGAUGAGCGAAAGCCUGAUCCAGCAGUGCCGCGUGAGUGAUGAAGGCCUUAGGGUUGUAAAGCUCUUUUACCCGGGAUGAUAAUGACAGUACCGGGAGAAUAAGCUCCGGCUAACUCCGUG